This 220-nucleotide long non-coding RNA is filed under the name Carica papaya (papaya). RNAcentral describes it as "long non-coding RNA (CPAP_LNC002326)". The record is from RNAcentral. Lineage: Eukaryota; Viridiplantae; Streptophyta; Magnoliopsida; Brassicales; Caricaceae.
GCAAAUAAUGCUAGAAUUAUUACUUGGAUUUUGAGUUCUGUUAAGAAAGAUAUUGCUUUGAAUUCGAUAUCAUUUUGUACUGCUAGUUCAAUAUGGGAUCCCCUUAAAAAAGUAAUUCUCAAACAAACCAGAUAGAUAAUUUGAAAUUGAAUAUGCUAUGCUAAACUUAAUCAAGAUGAUUGGGAUAUAAGAACCUUUUAUGCUUAAUUGUUGGGAUUAU